This 499-nucleotide ribosomal RNA is filed under the name uncultured bacterium. Its description in RNAcentral is "bacterial LSU rRNA". It matches the Rfam family "Bacterial large subunit ribosomal RNA", at positions 2152 to 2651 of the family's 2925-position model. The record is from RNAcentral.
AGACUUUGAAGCGUGGUCGCUAGACUGCGUGGAGUCGACCUUGAAAUACCACCCGUGGUGGUGUUGGGGUUCUAACGCUGACCCGUUAUCCGGGUUGCGGACAGUGUCUGGUGGUAGUUGACUGGGGCGGUCUCCUCCAAAGAGUAACGGAGGAGCACGAAGGUACCCUCAGCAUGGUCGGAAAUCAUGCAAUGAGCGCAAUGGUAGAAGGGUGCUUAACUGCGAGACCCACAAGUCGAGCAGGUACGAAAGUAGGUCAUAGUGAUCCGGUGGCUCUGUAUGGAAGGGCCAUCGCUCAACGGAUAAAAGGUACUCCGGGGAUAACAGGCUGAUUCCGCCCAAGAGUUCACAUCGACGGCGGAGUUUGGCACCUCGAUGUCGGCUCAUCACAUCCUGGGGCUGAAGCCGGUCCCAAGGGUAUGGCUGUUCGCCAUUUAAAGUGGUACGCGAGCUGGGUUCAGAACGUCGUGAGACAGUUCGGUCCCUAUCUGUCGUGGGG